AUGAAGAGAUGUGAUGAUCUAAUGAACCAGAAGCAAUCCAUUGGAGCUGUCUUACACAAGGGAACAAAGAAAUCCAAUAUAGAUGAUGUGGCUGCUGUUGCUUUGAAGAAUGCUCCUCAGAAUUUAAAGUUGGUUUCUUCGACUAUCCAGAAACAUAUUGUGAAAGCUUGUGCGAUAGAAACAGUGAAAGCAAUCAUAGAAGAUCUGGGAGAUGAAUACUUUGCUAUAUUGGUUGAUGAAGAUAUGCUUAGAGAGAAACAAGCAAAAAGAGUCCAGAUGGCACUGCAGAAUGGAGAACUGGAAACUGGUAGAGGUUUGAAUCAAGAACUUGGACUUAAACGAGCUGGGGAUACUCGUUGGGGUUCUCAUUUCAGCUCUCUCUUGAAUAUGAUUGUUAUGUUCCCCUCGGUAAUUGAAGUUGUAGAUGAUAAUGCACAAAACGCCAGCAAAGCUCUCGAUAGGAUUAAAGCAAAGGGUGUUCUGGACGCUAUUCAAACAUUUGACUUUGUUUUCAUGAUGCACUUGAUGAAGGCUGACAUUGUGAAUGCUGUGUCGUAUCUUCACACAACCAAAAGAAGGCUACAGGAAAUGAGAAACCAAGGUUGGGAAGGUAUGAUUAAAAAGGUUACUGAUUUUUGCAUUGAACAAGAUAUUGAACUUUCUGAUAUGGAUGCUAUGCAUAUUCCCCGAGGAUCGAAAUCAAAGCGUAAGGUUCAGACUGAUGGCAUAUCAAAUAAGAAUUACUACCAAAGUGUGAUGUACGCCAUUAUUGAUAUGUUACGUGUAGAGAUUGAUGACCGCUUUAGUGAAAGAAGCACAACCUUGCUUCUUGGGAUGGCUUCUUUGGAUCCUUCUGAUUUGUUUCUAAUUUCGACAAAGAAAAAGUGUUAG
Molecule: ribosomal RNA, 891 nt
Filed under: Triticum aestivum (bread wheat)
Lineage: Eukaryota; Viridiplantae; Streptophyta; Magnoliopsida; Poales; Poaceae
Description: partial small subunit ribosomal RNA
Source: RNAcentral